GAGCCUGUGGCUCAACGGUAGAGCGUUCGACUCAAAUACCAAAGGUCGCGGGUUCGAAUCCCAGGUGCU
Molecule: transfer RNA, 69 nt
Filed under: Schistocephalus solidus
Lineage: Eukaryota; Metazoa; Platyhelminthes; Cestoda; Diphyllobothriidea; Diphyllobothriidae
Rfam family: tRNA
About the family: Transfer RNA (tRNA) molecules are approximately 80 nucleotides in length. Their secondary structure includes four short double-helical elements and three loops (D, anti-codon, and T loops).
Source: Rfam by way of RNAcentral